This is a long non-coding RNA of Carassius carassius (crucian carp), 820 nucleotides long. RefSeq lists it as uncharacterized. Lineage: Eukaryota; Metazoa; Chordata; Actinopteri; Cypriniformes; Cyprinidae. The transcript is spliced from 5 exons. The record is from RefSeq and is a predicted model, not a curated record.
CGCUCCCGUGACGCUGAUUUGCUCGGGCGUGAGUUACGUAAAUUACGAAGAGCAACUAACUCAAAGUAAUCACAACAAAUAUUGCAUGACCGUUGCCUUGAAAGGUAUAAAAGCACUUAUCCAGGGGGGGUCCUCAUACACUUGUCCUGCUCCUGAUGCCACCCUGCUGUCCCACCCUGACUGUGCUGUUGUAUAGGAAUAUACACCCCAGUGGAUCCUCUGCAGUGAAUGGGUUCUGUCAGAAUGAGAGUCAGAUGUCUGAACAAGGUGCAAAAUAGUCCGUUUAAGCCCAGAUGUGCUGUUGAUUCCAGCAGGAGGAUGAUGGAAGAGAGAGGUUGAGACACUAUGAUUCCCUUCUUGCAUAUUCAUGGAUGGGUUUCAAACGCUUCAAUUAUUCAGUUGGAUGGAUUUUCUUAAGGAGCUGUCCCAUGAACUGUCCACCUUGAACUGAAGGAAACGCUUGAGCUACUUUGCUGUAGAGCCACAAUCUGUGCACCGAGGAGGCAGAAUCACACAGCCCACUGAGCGCAGCCCUUCACAAACAGCUUCUUGUAGUGCCACUACAUGUAUUUUGGUGGGAAGGGGGCGGAAGCUGCUCCCUGCACAUCUCAGUGUGCCAGAAAGUGUUAUCAGUUCAACGUUAAUGCAUGUGUCUUGACACAUCACUUUAUCAUUGUGUGUAAAUCAAUGAGAAACUGACGCUGAAUUUAAAUGAGACAUCCUGUUGCUUAUGUCUGUUGCUUGAGUGCAUCUUGAGGAAAUUUUCUGAAAGGGUCAUUUGCGUAUUUCCUCCCUUAAUUAAAAAUAAAAAAAAUUCCAA